AGAUGAGAGCCAGGACAGGGACCAGAAGACAUUGUAGUUCUCACAAGUGCAGCAGAUGAAGGGGGACUCCCUUCCUCUGUCUGAGCAGUGAGCUAGAGAUGGGUGUGAGGGGUGGGGCCCAGGGCUGGUGAGGUCAAGGUCUUGGGCUGCUGAAGAAAAUUGGCUUUGCUCUUUUCUGACUUCAUGUUUUGGUUGUCCCUGGCCAGUCCAGCUGCGUUCCCUGAGGAUGUGCUGCCGUGGAUGCUGCUGUGAGUAUCACUAUUGCCAUUGUUACCGGUAACCAUUUACAAGCACCUGCUAUGCACCAGGUACCCAGCAAAAUCUGAUGAUGUGCAAGCAAUGGGAGAGUCACACAGUGGACAACCAACUGCAACAAUCCCAGGAGCAAAGUGCUAUGGGACCACAGAGGAAAGAAGAAGAGCUGGAAGGACUGACAGGCUCCGGUGGCCACCCUACAACCAGAAGACAGACACCUGACAAUGUAUUGUCAGAUGACGGAUUAGCCAAGCCUGGGGAAGAGAGCUGAGUGUGCAGCCUCCCUCCCAGUCUCCUGGGUGACAAAGCCGCUGGAUGACCCCGCCAACAAUAAUGAGAUGAAAAUGAAGAACACUGCAGUAUAAUAAGCAUGAUAAAAAUAGAGAUGUUGCUAAAUAAUGGGUCGGCCAUGGCUAAGGAGCAGGAGAAAGACCCAAGCCCAAAGGAGGUGGAUAAGGCCUUCCUGUGUGGUCUCCAAGCCUGACCCCCUGAUGUAUUGCUGUUGCUCAACUAGGCCAUAGAUGGUUUUGAGUCUCUAGUGUGGCAAAGAUGUCAGAGAGGGACUAGAGGGUGGGCCUAAGUGAAAAUCCCCAGCAGGCUCUAUCCUGGUCACUGUGGCUCUGACUUCCACCAAGGGAGGGACAAAAGUGUGGUGAGCACACAUGCCGAUGGUGGUUAUGAAUUACUGCCUUUAGUAGGAACCUGUUGCCUGCCAAUGAGUAUCAGCAAAUGGUCUGAGUUAAUGCAUCAAAGUUUUUCAGAACAUUGCACCUCUCAUCUACAUAGUGCAGAGUGGAAGAAGCCUGUUAACUAUGCUUUUGUUUGUAUUUUUGUUUAGUUGGUAGCUUGGAGUAUCUGCCAGGAAAGGCAGCUGCCCUUAGGGAGGGAGGUACCUCGGUGCCACAGGGACGGCUGCCUGUGAAGAUUUCUGGCACCAAGUCUCUCUGCAGUUUUUGUUUUUUAUUUUUUAAAUAAUUAAAUUAAGACUUAUUUUUGAAUAAGUAAUAUCUACGUAGAGUACAAAAUUUAAAAGGAAUAAAAGGGGUGCAGGAAACAUAAAUAUUCCUUCUUCUCCCCCUAUUCCCAUCCACCCAUUUUCCUUCCCUCAAGGCAACCACUGUUACUAGUUUCUUCUGCAGUUUCCAGAGAUAUUCUAAGCAUAAAUCAGUGCAUGUACCUAACGCUCCAAACAUACUAACCAGUUUUUUUUUAAAAAAACACAAAUGUUAACAUACUGUAUCAACCAGAGUCCUGACAGAAAACAGAUGGCACACACAAAGUGAGUCAUUUGAGUAGAGUUUAAUAAAUGGACUGUUUACCAAGGUGUAGGAAAAGCACAAAGCCAGCAACAGUUGAGCGAGAGGGCACAGUGACAUAGUGUGAGCAACACUGCCAGUUGAGGAGCAUUCCAGGGAGGUGUAGGGGGGCAUAAUCACCUGUCCUUCCUCUCCUCCCUCUGACCUUUUGCUGCAGCACCUCAUGGGCUGCACUCAAGCUAAGCCAGAGAACAAGAGUCUAUUGAUGCAGUUUAAAGAGGUCAUCUGGGGCAGGGAACAGGUGGGGAAGGGCCGAGAGUGGAUAAGGAGGGCAAAUGUGGGCACUCAGCUCAUGCACUCAGCUCCUCAUCCUGUUCUUUGCUGUUUUCCACUUCACAGUCUGUCUGUACAUACAGCAUCAUUCCUUCUGCUAGCUUAUUCUAUUGCAUUUCUGUCGUGCAAUACCAUGCCACAUGCAAGAGACUGAAUUGUGACCCCUACCCCAAUUAUAUGUUGAAGUCCUAACACCCAAUGUAACUGUAUGUAGAGUGAAGAAGUCAUUAAAGUUAAAUGAGGCCAUAAGGGUGAUGCCUAGAAUAAGGCUUAUUAAGAGAAGACACCAGAGCUCUCUAUCUGUCAUGUGAGGACACAGCCAGAAGAUGGCAGUCUGCAAGCCAGGAACUCAUCAGAAAACCCAGCAGCAGGAACCUUGAUCUUGAACUUCCCAGUCUCCAGAACUGGGAGAAAGAAAUGUCUUCUCUUUAACCCACCCAGUUCAUGGUAUUUUGUUAUGGCAGCCUGAGCUAAGACACCACACACACACACACACACACACACUCAUAAUAUAUCACAAAAAUAAUAAUAUAUACAACCAUAUAUUCAACUAGUCCCUCACUGAUGGCCUUUUAAGAUAGUUUCCAAUUUUCUGCUAUUACAAACAAUGCUGCAAGGCAAAUCCUUUUACUGCCAUUUCACUGGUAAGGAUACAUACAGAAUAAAUUCCGUAGGAAUUUAUUUAUAGGAACGGAUUGUUGUAUCAAAGAAUGUAUGCUUUAAAAAUGUUGAUAGAUUCAGCCGCAGCACCCUGCAUAGAAUUUGCACCAAUUUGCAUGCACAUCAGCAAUGUAUAAGAUUCCCAUGCAGUUUUUAAACAUCUGGGUUUCAAAGACAUGAAUAAACUUAUUACAGCAUCUUUCCAGCAGUGCCUGUCACCUUACAAGACAUAAACUUUUCUUGUUUUUGAAAUUAUGAGAACAUAUUCUCCUCUUGUUUUCUGUCCUGUCUUUCAGCUUUUUUCAGCAGGGAUAAAAUUCCUCCACUCCUGAAUGAAAUUCUUAUGGUUUUUCUUUGGGCACAGUUCUGACUCAUUUUGUCAUAAAUUAACAGCCUCAGUUUAGAUGUUAAGUAUCCAGUUUUUCUUUCUGGGCAUGAACAAGCCAAUUAUAUAUGAAAACAUACCUUAGAGACAGUUAGGAAACCCACAUAUGUACAGGUACCAGGAGAUGCCCAGGAAUCAUCAUUAAUCCCACAACAUUGCUGUGACAUGCAGGAAAACAUCCUUAUUCUAUGAAGAGGCAGUCUGAAGCAUCCAGAAAUGUGAAACACCACGUCUUCAAUCUACCCCAACACUUCAGCAAAAACAAGAUGAAGCAAAUAUGCAAAACAGUAACAAUCAUUACAUCUAGGUGAUGGACACCUUCCUUUAUGUUCAACAACUCUCGUAAUAAAAAACUUAGAAGAGAUGUCUAGCCAAGAUAAUAAUCAAUACUUCACACUUCAUCCAUAGGUCAGGAAUCCAGGACUGGUUUAGCUGGGUGGUUCGCGCUCAGGGUCUCCUGUGAGGUUGCAGUCAGGAAGAUGGCCAGGGCUGCAGUCACCUGAAGUCUUGAUGGGCUGGAGGAGCUACUUCCAAGAGGGGUCACUCAUGUGACUGUGCCUCAGUUUCUCUCUGGCUGUUAUCAGGAGACCUCAGUUUCUCACCAAGUAGGCUUCUCCAUAAGGCUGCCCAAGACAGAGCAACUUCAAGAGAGCAAGAAAGAAGCCAUGCCUUAGCCUUGGAAGCGACAUGUCAUCAUACUUGCCAUAUGCUAUUGGUUGCACAGAUUAAUCAUGGUACAAUGUUGGGGAGAACAAGGGUGUGAAUACCAAGAGACAGGGACCACUAGGACCAUCUUGGAGCUAGCCACCACACCUAUUGAUGUCAUCCUGCACGUCCUCUCAGCUGUCAAUAUAAACUAUGCUUCAUGGACUCGUGCUCCACAGAGUUGUAUUCCAUGGGAGAGAAUCCGUCUGUGGUCUUAAGUGUGGCACUUUGUAUAGAGCUCCCAUGACAUAAGCAACUGUAUCUCAGAAAAAGACUCCAUCUUACAUUUCAAAAGGCCUCUUGCCAAAAGAGAACAGAUAUUUUGCCUAAUCAAUAAAGACUACAUCCAACCAGAUAAGGACAUAACCAAGCACACUCUUCCACUAUCAGGUCUCACCAGAGGACUCUGGGGUGGCCAUUAAAAGAGCAGGACUUCAGCAGCUUGAAAGUCCUCCUUAACAGACACCGUCUUGCUGUCACUUGUGAUAUGCAUCUGGCAUCUUCCACCCAAAGCUCUGCCAAUAUCAAAGACUCUUCCUUGCAAGACCAACAGCCAUCACAGGACAGACCAGAAGAUUAUUUUUGUCUACGUUGGUCACCUGGGCUGGUUCAUUAAUGUUUUUACUAUCCCUUCUCUCUUGAUGAUAAAUGUUACUUUGUUUGUUGUGGAAUAUUUAAUUUAUAACAUUUACAUAUUGAUCAAGUAUACUAUUAUGUAUGCUUUGCAAUAAUGACUGAUUUCCUGUCCACAGGCUUGGGCAUAUGUGCCCAUGGCUCUGACAACUGAGUGAAUGAGAAGUACUAAGGAGAACUGCCUUCUCGCUGAACUCCAUGUAGCUCAUGUCUUUUAUGUUUGAGACAGCUUCAGUAAAAGUCUGACGUUGUGG
This is a long non-coding RNA of Pongo pygmaeus (Bornean orangutan), 4481 nucleotides long. RefSeq lists it as uncharacterized. The transcript has 5 exons. Lineage: Eukaryota; Metazoa; Chordata; Mammalia; Primates; Hominidae. The record is from RefSeq and is a predicted model, not a curated record.